This 369-nucleotide ribosomal RNA is filed under the name uncultured organism. RNAcentral describes it as "bacterial SSU rRNA". It matches the Rfam family "Bacterial small subunit ribosomal RNA", at positions 526 to 896 of the family's 1533-position model. The record is from RNAcentral.
CGGAGGGCGCAAGCGUUAUCCGGAUUUACUGGGUUUAAAGGGUGUGUAGGCGGACUUUUAAGUCAGCGGUGAAAUCUCCGGGCUCAACCCGGAAACUGCCAUUGAUACUAUUAGUCUUGAAUAUUGUUGAGGUGGGCGGAACGGGUCAUGUAGCGGUGAAAUGCAUAGAUAUGACCCGGAACACCGAUUGCGAAGGCAGCCCACUAAGCAAUUAUUGACGCUGAGGCACGAAAGCGUGGGGAUCAAACAGGAUUAGAUACCCUGGUAGUCCACGCCCUAAACGAUGAUUACUCGACGUUGGCGAUACACUGAUCAGCGUCCAAGCGAAAGCAUUAAGUAAUCCACCUGGGAAGUACGUUCGCAAGAAUG